Molecule: ribosomal RNA, 497 nt
Filed under: uncultured bacterium
Lineage: Bacteria
Description: partial 16S ribosomal RNA
Rfam family: Bacterial small subunit ribosomal RNA
Source: RNAcentral
GAUGAACGCUGGCGGCGUGCCUAAUACAUGCAAGUCGAGCGAACGGACGAGAAGCUUGCUUUUCUGAUGUUAGCGGCGGACGGGUGAGUAACACGUGGAUAACCUACCUAUAAGACUGGGAUAACUUCGGGAAACCGGAGCUAAUACCGGAUAAUAUUUUGAACCGCAUGGUUCAAAAGUGAAAGACGGUCUUGCUGUCACUUAUAGAUGGAUCCGCGCUGCAUUAGCUAGUUGGUAAGGUAACGGCUUACCAAGGCAACGAUGCAUAGCCGACCUGAGAGGGUGAUCGGCCACACUGGAACUGAGACACGGUCCAGACUCCUACGGGAGGCAGCAGUAGGGAAUCUUCCGCAAUGGGCGAAAGCCUGACGGAGCAACGCCGCGUGAGUGAUGAAGGUCUUCAGAUCGUAAAACCCUGUUAUUAGGGAAGAACAUAUGUGUAAGUAACUGUGCACAUCUUGACGGUACCUAAUCAGAAAGCCACGGCUAACUACGUG